GAAACGACUGCUAAGACUGGAUAGGAAAAGUAAAGGCAUCUUUACUUUUUUAAAAGAUCUUCUUUGAAGGUAUGCUUAAGGAGGGGCUUGCGACGCAUUAGUUAGUUGGUAGGGUAAAGGCCUACCAAGACUAUGAUGUGUAGCUGGACUGAGAGGUUGAACAGCCACAUUGGGACUGAGACACGGCCCAAACUCCUACGGGAGGCAGCAGUAGGGAAUUUUCGGCAAUGGAGGAAACUCUGACCGAGCAACGCCGCGUGAACGAUGAAGUACCUCGGUAUGUAAAGUUCUUUUAUUAAGGAAGAAAAAAGAGUGGAAAAACUCCCUUGACGGUACUUAAUGAAUAAGCCCCGGCUAAUUAUGUGCCAGCAGCCGCGGUAAUACAUAAGGGGCGAGCGUAAUCCGGAAUUAUUGGGCGUAAAGGGUGCGUAGGCGGUUUAAUAAGUCUAUAGUUUAAUUUCAGUGCUUAACGCUGUUGUGCUAUAGAAACUGUUUUACUAGAGUGAGAUAGAGGCAAGCGGAAUUCCAUGUGUAGCGGUAAAAUGCGUAAAUAUAUGGAGGAACACCAGAGGCGUAGGCGGCUUGCUGGGUCUUUACUGACGCUGAGGCACGAAAGCGUGGGGAGCAAACAGGAUUAGAUACCCUGGUAGUCCACGCCGUAAACGAUGAGUACUAAGUGUCGGGUAAAACUGGUACUGAAGUUAACACAUUAAGUACUCCGCCUGAGUAGUACGUACGCAAGUAUGAAACUUAAAGGAAUUGACGGGACUCCGCACAAGCGGUGGAUCAUGUUGUUUAAUUCGAAGAUACACGAAAAACCUUACCAGGUCUUGACAUUUUCUUGCGAAGUUAUAGAAAUAUAAUGGAGGUCAUCAGGAAAACAGGUGGUGCAUGGUUGUCGUCAGCUCGUGUCGUGAGAUGUUAGGUUAAGUCCUAAAACGAGCGCAACCCUUGUCGUUAGUUGCCAGCAUGUAAUGAUGGGGACUUUAACGAGACUGCCAAUGAAAAAUUGGAGGAAGGUGGGGAUUACGUCAAAUCAUCAUGCCCCUUAUGAUCUGGGCUACAAACGUGAUACAAUGGUUGAUACAAAGAGCAGCUGAAACGCGAGUUCUUAGCCAAUCUCAAAAAAUCAAUCUCAGUUCGGAUUGAAGUCUGCAACUCGACUUCAUGAAGUUGGAAUCGCUAGUAAUCGCGAAUCAGCAUGUCGCGGUGAAUACGUUCUCGGGGUUUGUACACACCGCCCGUCA
Molecule: ribosomal RNA, 1247 nt
Filed under: Peach rosette phytoplasma
Lineage: Bacteria; Bacillati; Mycoplasmatota; Mollicutes; Acholeplasmatales; Acholeplasmataceae
Description: bacterial SSU rRNA
Rfam family: Bacterial small subunit ribosomal RNA
Source: RNAcentral